UACGUAGGGGGCAAGCGUUGUCCGGAUUCAUUGGGCGUAAAGAGCGUGUAGGCGGCCAGACAGGUCCGUUGUGAAAACUCGAGGCUCAACCUCGAGACGUCGACGGAAACCGUCUGGCUAGAGUCCGGAAGAGGAGUGUGGAAUUCCUGGUGUAGCGGUGAAAUGCGCAGAUAUCAGGAAGAACACCUAUGGCGAAGGCAGCACUCUGGGACGGUACUGACGCUGAGACGCGAAAGCGUGGGGAGCGAACAGG
This 253-nucleotide ribosomal RNA is filed under the name uncultured bacterium. RNAcentral's name for it is "partial 16S ribosomal RNA". It matches the Rfam family "Bacterial small subunit ribosomal RNA", at positions 524 to 776 of the family's 1533-position model. The record is from RNAcentral.